CUGCUGCUGGGAUAUUUUUCUCUUCACGUGACACGAAGGAUCGUGGAGAAGUGGAAUGGCUGUUAUUACCGAAAACCGAGAAUCUGGUCAUCGCUGUCAACUCCAACGCGCGUCAUAUCCUCUGGGGUAACGGCAAGUCCAAUAACAGAGGUACACUCAAAUAAUAAUAAGGACGACCAUCAAUGUCUUCAUCGACACGCAUAUUCAAACAAUGAAGGAGUACUUCGGUCAAAACAAUCGGACUCCAAAAUCCCGUAGGCUGUUCUUGAUAACUGAUCGGCGCUUGCAUAGUAGGGGCUUGCCUAGAGUUAAGCUCGCAGUGAUAAGGCGAUUAGGGGAACGCGGAUUAAGUUAUUAUUUUAUGUUGUUAUUAUAUUUAAGUUGUUAUUUUAUAUUUCAAGCUACAGCGAAAAUGUGUUUGUUAUUUCAUUUGUAUUUUUAUUCUUUUAUUUAGGCGUAUGCCUAAUUUACCAAAUAUCUGAAACUAAAUUUUAGUAUUUCUUAAAAUUCAUCCCCUAGUUGUGUUAAAUAACAGAUCGUGUUCGACUAUUUAUUUUAAUUUUGUUUAAAUGUUGAGCAAUGUGUUUUGUAAAAUUGAACUUUUUUGUAAAUAUUAAUUAUUAAAUUAUUAUUAUAAAAGUAUGAUUUUUAUUAUUUACUACUACUAAGUUCAGGUAUUGGGAGAAGCAAAAUGUGAGGAUCGGUAAUUAUAUUAAUGGAAAAAAAUGGACGUUUUAGUCCAAUUUAUAUAGUCUGGCAAGAUCAGAACAGUUAAUUUUUGACUCAUUUUCUUAUCAUUAUGAUUAAAAGAGCCUAUUCUAUGCCGUGACCAUACGUGAUAAUUUUUUUUAUUAUAUAAAUUUAUAAAAUGUAGUCCUUAACAUUUUGCGUAUUCAUUUCCACAUAGUGCCUGGUAUCAUUGUGUAUACUUUUAUUUAAUCAAAUGUAUGGUUUCAACAGAUAAUCGACCUUCACAUUCAAAUAUAAGUCGUUGGUUCUCGAAACUUGUAAUUUGUAUUGAAAGCUAUUUUUGGACGAAGAUUAUUUGGUUUGUGAAAGUGCACCUUUAAACCAAUGACAAAAAGAAAUUUUCAAUAAAACGCUUAAAUGAAAGAGAUGCAAACAGUACUUCUAGCAUUUUUAGUCUUACUAGUAUUGUAUUAUGUUAUUAUUUCGGAAUGUUAUCUACUGAGAAGAGCUUUUAAGAAACUAUUUUCUAAUAAUUUACAAGGAAAUUUUGCAUUUUAUAUUAUAAUUCCUAACUAGUAUUUAGGAAAAAUAUAUAUCAAAUUGUAUGUAAUUAAUGUGUGAUUUCAUGUCAGUAAUUGUCAUGUUAGUAUUUGGGAGUCUUAAUGUAAGUAAAUCGAAUAUAUUUUCUGACUGCUCGAUUCGAUAAAAUUCGAACCUGCAUCUCUCGAUUUGAGCUGAGUGUUUUUUUCUAGUUAAGAAAUCCUACAAGGUACUUCCAAAUUGGCAUUUUAGAUUUAAAUAUACAUAUUCAAACUCUAGUCUUUGAUAACAAGUAUAUUGACUGUGGUUAUAACAGGGUUUAAGAUUAAAAAUAAAUCUAUUAAGUUUAAUAAAUACUAAUAAGUAAAGUCGUUGGAAGUCGACCUGACAGGAUAUAUUGUAGGCAAUGCGGCGUGUUAGAUCCCAUUGUUAAGAACCCACUUCCUCUGUUGUAUCUAAUAGUUAUUUUUUUUUUCUUUGAAAGGAACAAUAAAGAAUUUUAUUUUCAAAA
Molecule: long non-coding RNA, 1741 nt
Organism: Galleria mellonella (greater wax moth)
Lineage: Eukaryota; Metazoa; Arthropoda; Insecta; Lepidoptera; Pyralidae
Exons: 3
Source: RefSeq, a predicted model, not a curated record